This 497-nucleotide ribosomal RNA is filed under the name uncultured bacterium. RNAcentral describes it as "partial 16S ribosomal RNA". It matches the Rfam family "Bacterial small subunit ribosomal RNA", at positions 28 to 507 of the family's 1533-position model. The record is from RNAcentral.
GAUGAACGCUGGCGGCGUGCUUAAUACAUGCAAGUCGAACGAACAGACGCGGCUCUUGCUCCUCUGACGUUAGCCGCGUACGUGUGAGUAACACGUGUAUCACCUACCUAUAAGACUGGUAUAACUUCGGGAAACCGGCUCUUAUACCGGAUAAUAUCUUGAUCCGCAUGGUUCAAUAGUUAAUGCCGGUUUUGCUGUCACUUCUAGAUGCAUCCGCGCCGUAUUGGCUGUUUGUUAAGGUAACGGCUUAUCACGGCAACGAUGCGUAGCCGACCGGCGAGGGUGAUAGGCGACACUGGAACUGAGACGCGGUCAAGAGUCCUAAGGGAGGCAGCAGUAGGGAAUGUGAGGCAAUGGGCGAAAGCAUGACGGAGCAACGCGGAGUGAGUGAUGAAGGUCUUCGGAGCGGAAAAAUCUGUUAGGAGUGAAAAACAAAUGUGGAAGUAACUAAGCAGGGAGUGACGGUAACGAAUCAAAAAGCAACGGCUAACUACGUG